UUUUUGUGCCUUUUGGUUUAUGCUGCAAAUAUGCCCGUGGAAAACAGCCCACCUGUGUAGAAAAUCAUGCAAGCACAUGCAUUCUAAUGUCAUCUGCAAGUUCCUGUUGCAGAGGAAAUGAUAAAUAAGAUCAAGAAAUUUCUGGUGUUCAUAUAUGCCAAGUGACGGCUCUGAUAGCUCAUACAACCUCAUAUUAUUCUUUCUGUAUGAGCGAGGUUCAUGACGUAUCCCCUCAUUUUGCCCACAGUUCCAAUGGUGUAUGCAUAAUUUAGUGCGAUCAAUUUGUAAGAAUAGACUGCUAAAUUUGGUUUUGAGAUUUGUGUUCUAAACUGU
Molecule: long non-coding RNA, 333 nt
Organism: Spinacia oleracea (spinach)
Lineage: Eukaryota; Viridiplantae; Streptophyta; Magnoliopsida; Caryophyllales; Amaranthaceae
Exons: 3
Source: RefSeq, a predicted model, not a curated record